GACGAACGCUGGCGGCGUGCUUAACACAUGCAAGUCGAACGGAAAGGCCCUGCUUGCAGGGUACUCGAGUGGCGAACGGGUGAGUAACACGUGGGUGAUCUGCCCUGCACUUCGGGAUAAGCCUUGGAAACUGGGUCUAUUACCGGAUAGGAGCCAUUUUUAGUGUGAUGGUUGGAGAGUUUUUUCGGUGUAGGAUGAGCUCGCGGCCUAUCAGCUUGUUGGUGGGGUAAUGGGCUACCAAGGCGGCGACGGGUAGCCGGCCUGAGAGGGUGGACGGCCACAUUGGGACUGAGAUACGGCCCAGACUCCUAUGGGAGGCAGCAGUGGGGAAUAUUGCACAAUGGGCGCAAGCCUGAUGCAGCGACGCCGCGUGGGGGAUGACGGCCUUCGGGUUGUAAACUCCUUUCGCUUGGGACGAAGCUUUUUGGGACGGAACCGAGAUAUGAGGCACGGGCUAACUACUG
RNAcentral lists this ribosomal RNA (464 nucleotides) under uncultured bacterium. RNAcentral describes it as "partial 16S ribosomal RNA". It matches the Rfam family "Bacterial small subunit ribosomal RNA", at positions 28 to 506 of the family's 1533-position model. The record is from RNAcentral.